RNAcentral lists this ribosomal RNA (254 nucleotides) under uncultured bacterium. Its description in RNAcentral is "partial 16S ribosomal RNA". It matches the Rfam family "Bacterial small subunit ribosomal RNA", at positions 524 to 776 of the family's 1533-position model. The record is from RNAcentral.
UACGUAGGUGGCAAGCGUUGUCCGGAUUUAUCGUGGCGUAAAGAGCGCGCAGGCGGUCGUUCAAGUCGCGUGUGAAAGCCCCCGGCUCAACUGGGGAGGGUCACGCGAUACUGAUCGACUCGAAGGCAGGAGAGGGAAGUGGAAUUCCCGGUGUAGUGGUGAAAUGCGUAGAUAUCGGGAGGAACACCAGUGGCGAAGGCGACUUCCUGGCCUGUUCUUGACGCUGAGGCGCGAAAGCUAGGGGAGCAAACGGG